This 552-nucleotide ribosomal RNA is filed under the name Mycosphaerella sp. 4 ICMP 18926. RNAcentral's name for it is "eukaryotic LSU rRNA". The stretch from base 207 to 360 matches the Rfam family "5.8S ribosomal RNA". The record is from RNAcentral. Lineage: Eukaryota; Fungi; Ascomycota; Dothideomycetes; Mycosphaerellales; Mycosphaerellaceae.
UGAGGAAGUAAAAGUCGUAACAAGGUCUCCGUAGGUGAACCUGCGGAGGGAUCAUUACUGAGAGAGGGCCUCCGGGUCCGACCUCCAACCCUUUGUGAACCAACCUCGUUGCUUUGGGGGCGACCCUGCCGUCCGCGGCGGCGGCGCCCCCGGAGGCCAUCAAACACUGCGUAACUUUGCGUCGGAGUCUUGAUUAAAUCAAACAAAACUUUCAACAACGGAUCUCUUGGUUCUGGCAUCGAUGAAGAACGCAGCGAAAUGCGAUAAGUAAUGUGAAUUGCAGAAUUCAGUGAAUCAUCGAAUCUUUGAACGCACAUUGCGCCCCUUGGUAUUCCGAGGGGCAUGCCUGUUCGAGCGUCAUUUCACCACUCAAGCCUGGCUUGGUAUUGGGCGUCGCGGGCCCCCCGCGCGCCUCAAAGUCUCUCCGGCUGAGCGGCUCGUCUCUAAGCGUUGUGGCAACUAUUCGCGGUGAGAUCGGGCGGCGACGGCCGUUAAAUCUUUAUUUACAGGUUGACCUCGGAUCAGGUAGGGAUACCCGCUGAACUUAAGCAU